This is a non-coding RNA of Pseudonaja textilis, 133 nucleotides long. The record is from RefSeq and is a predicted model, not a curated record. NCBI's taxonomy places the organism in Eukaryota, Metazoa, Chordata, Lepidosauria, Squamata, Elapidae.
AGAACAUUUUGUGGGGGAGGUAGUCCCGCUAGGAACUGGGAGAUGUUGAGUUCUAGUCACCUUAGGCAUAAAGCCAGCUGGGUGACCUUGGGCCAGCCACUUUCUCUCAGCCCUACGAAGGAGGCAAUGACAA